RNAcentral lists this transfer RNA (64 nucleotides) under Cumberlandia monodonta. Its description in RNAcentral is "tRNA-Pro". The record is from RNAcentral. Lineage: Eukaryota; Metazoa; Mollusca; Bivalvia; Unionida; Margaritiferidae.
CAGAAAAUAGUUUAAAAGAAAACAAAAACUUUGGGAGUUUUAAAUUUAGGGCACACCAAUUUUC